UACGUAGGGGGCAAGCGUUAUCCGGAUUUACUGGGUGUAAAGGGGGCGCAGACGGCAGCGCAAGCCAGGAGUGAAAGCCCGGGGCCCAACCCCGGGACUGCUCUUGGAACUGCGCGGCUGGAGUGCAGGAGGGGCAGGCGGAAUUCCUGGUGUAGCGGUGAAAUGUGUAGAUAUCAGGAGGAACACCGGUGGCGAAGGCGGCCUGCUGGACUGCGACUGACGUUGAGGCCCGAAAGCGUGGGGAGCAAACAGG
RNAcentral lists this ribosomal RNA (253 nucleotides) under uncultured bacterium. Its description in RNAcentral is "partial 16S ribosomal RNA". It matches the Rfam family "Bacterial small subunit ribosomal RNA", at positions 524 to 776 of the family's 1533-position model. The record is from RNAcentral.